This 910-nucleotide long non-coding RNA is filed under the name Helianthus annuus (common sunflower). Lineage: Eukaryota; Viridiplantae; Streptophyta; Magnoliopsida; Asterales; Asteraceae. The record is from RNAcentral.
UACGCUCACUAGAACAUACUGUAUAAAUUCCGCGAAGUUCCGUUUUAAAACGAGAAAGUUAUGAUCGAAUUCUUAUGAUCAAAUUCGUAUGAGAAGGGUUAAAAGCGUCAACAAUGAAAGUUAAGGCUUUCUGAAUAAUUAAUAAACUAACCGGGGACUUAACAACGCGGGUAAAUAACACGAGGUCCUUAGUUGUAAUUAACCGAGGGCCAAACCGCAAAGUUACCCCUUCAAACCCGAAAGGUCAGGUUAAUAAUUACGAAAGAUUUCGUUAUUAAUUACCAGAUUCUCGUCAUCAUUACAAAAGAUUUUAAAAACUUGAAAAUCUAACCUCUCGCGACCCGCAUUAGAGUUUGGGUUAAGUGAAAGCGGGCCGCGAGCCUUCUAAUUAUACGCGCCUGGAUUUAAACUUCAGGCGGCCCGCGUUAAAACAUGCAUGGAUCCUCCAUGCGGGCCGCAUGAGACGCCCAGAUGCAGAAAGUUUGUAAUUGCAUGCCUUUUGAGCUUGUGAACGAUCAAACAUCAAUAAAUGAGGCAUGGGCACCCUAUACUCGACCCAUAGCUCUAUGGGACACCUGCCCAUCAUCCAUGAUCAGUUGUAGGGGUUGUGUAAUGAUCAUAGGUGCCUUGUUUCACUAUAAAUAGCCACAUUUGGUUCAAAACUAUCACACAACUCAAUUACACUCAACUGAUCAUUCUAAGAAGCUCUCAAGCAUUCUUCUAUGCUCUCUAAGCAAGACACAACUUCUGUAAGUCGUUCACAUCCAUUGUGGUCUUGUUUUUCCAUAGAUUUAGCUUAUAAACCCAACCGUCGUAACUAACGGUUGUCAUAGCGAUAAUUCACAAAUGGUCCAGUAAAUUGUCGGAUCAAAAGUAGUUAUGAGUUGGUAUUUAUGUGGGUAAUAAACCC